GUGCUUGCUUCAGCAGCCUGUAUACUAAAAUUGAAACAAUACAGAGAUUAUCAUGGCCCCUGCUCAAGGAAGACAUGCAAAUUCAUGAAGCACUGGGUAUUUUU
This is a small nuclear RNA of Budorcas taxicolor (takin), 104 nucleotides long. NCBI's taxonomy places the organism in Eukaryota, Metazoa, Chordata, Mammalia, Artiodactyla, Bovidae. The record is from RefSeq and is a predicted model, not a curated record.